CAGCCGCCGCGGUAAUACCGGCGGCCCGAGUGGCGGUCACUAUUAUUGGGCUUAAAGCGUCCGGAGCCGGGGUGGGAAGGCCUCCGGGAAAUCUGGCCGCUUAACGGUCCGAAUGCCGGAGGAUACUCCCAGCCUAGGGAGCGGGAGAGGCCGAGGGGAUUCCCGGAGGAGGGGGGGAAUCCUAUAAUCCCGGGAGGACCACCUGUGGCGAAGGCGCUCGGCUGGAACGCGUCCGACGGUGAGGGACGAAGGCCAGGGGAGCAAACCGGAUUAGAUGCCCGGGUAGUCCUGGCUGUAAACGAUGCGGACUUUGUGUCGGACAAGCUAUGAGCUUGUCCGGUGCCGGAGGGAAACCGUUAAGUCCGCCGCCUGGGGAGUACGGCCGCAAGGCUGAAACUUAAAGGAAUUGGCGGG
RNAcentral lists this ribosomal RNA (414 nucleotides) under uncultured microorganism. Its description in RNAcentral is "bacterial SSU rRNA". It matches the Rfam family "Archaeal small subunit ribosomal RNA", at positions 459 to 872 of the family's 1478-position model. The record is from RNAcentral.